RNAcentral lists this ribosomal RNA (433 nucleotides) under uncultured bacterium. Its description in RNAcentral is "partial 16S ribosomal RNA". It matches the Rfam family "Bacterial small subunit ribosomal RNA", at positions 29 to 507 of the family's 1533-position model. The record is from RNAcentral.
AACGAACGCUGGCGGCAUGCCUAACACAUGCGAGUCGAACGAGACCUUCGGGUCUAGUGGCGCACGGGUGCGUAACGCGUGGGAACCUGCCCUUAGAUUCGGAAUAACUCCCCGAAAGGGGUGCUAAUACCGGAUAAUGUCUUCGGACCAAAGAUUUAUCGCCUUUGGAUGGGCCCGCGUUGGAUUAGCUAGUUGGUAGGGUAAAAGCCUACCAAGGCGACGAUCCAUAGCUGGUCUGAGAGGAUGAUCAGCCACACUGGGACUGAGACACGGCCCAGACUCCUACGGGAGGCAGCAGUGGGGAAUAUUGGACAAUGGGCGAAAGCCUGAUCCAGCAAUGCCGCGUGAGUGAUGAAGGCCUUAGGGUUGUAAAGCUCUUUUACCCGGGAUGAUAAUGACAGUACCGGGAGAAUAAGCUCCGGCUAACUCCGUG